CUACGGGUGGCUGCAGUGAGGAAUAUUGCACAAUGGGGGGAACCCUGAUGCAGCAACGCCGCGUGGAGGAUGACGCAUUUCGGUGUGUAAACUCCUUUUAUAUGUCAAGAAAAUGACGGUAGCAUAUGAAUAAGCACCGGCUAACUCCGUGCCAGCAGCCGCGGUAAUACGGAGGGUGCAAGCGUUACUCGGAAUCACUGGGCGUAAAGGACGCGUAGGCGGGUUGGGAAGUCAGGUGUGAAAUCCUACAGCUUAACUGUAGAACUGCACUUGAAACUUCUAAUCUAGAGUAUGGGAGAGGGAGAUGGAAUUAGUGGUGUAGGGGUAAAAUCCGUAGAUAUCACUAGGAAUACCUAAAGCGAAGGCGAUCUCCUGGAACAUUACUGACGCUAAGGCGUGAAAGCGUGGGGAGCAAACAGGAUUAGAUACCCCAGUAGUC
Molecule: ribosomal RNA, 439 nt
Filed under: uncultured bacterium
Lineage: Bacteria
Description: partial 16S ribosomal RNA
Rfam family: Bacterial small subunit ribosomal RNA
Source: RNAcentral